Nematolebias whitei (Rio pearlfish) is the source of this 356-nucleotide long non-coding RNA. RefSeq lists it as uncharacterized. Lineage: Eukaryota; Metazoa; Chordata; Actinopteri; Cyprinodontiformes; Rivulidae. The record is from RefSeq and is a predicted model, not a curated record. The transcript has 3 exons.
GGAGGAAAUCCCCAGAAAACUGGAGGACACGCUGAAAAAGUCUAUUUGGCUCUCACUCAUGACCAACCAAUCAUGCCCAGAUGUUGCUGCAGAGCUUGAGGAGGUACAGCAAAACUACAAUUUGCUGAAGAAUGGUUUGAAUGAAGAAAGAGCCUAAAAUGGCUGCCCCGAAUCCAAGACACAAAGAUCCAUCACUGUGACACAAAAGUUCAAGAUGGAAAAACUUUACAGGCAAAUGUGAAAAACAGUGAAUGAUGCGAAUUACUUUGACACUGCUCUGUUUUUUGUUUGUUUUUUUCCCCCACCUUUUUUAAUUCACGGUUUAAGAAAUAUUUUAACACAUACUUUGACUUCAC